AACGAACGCUGGCGGCAUGCCUAACACAUGCAAGUCGAACGAGACCUUCGGGUCUAGUGGCGCACGGGUGCGUAACGCGUGGGAACCUGCCCUUAGGUUCGGAAUAACUCCCUGAAAGGGGUGCUAAUACCGGAUAAUGUCUUCGGACCAAAGAUUUAUCGCCUUUGGAUGGGCCCGCGUUGGAUUAGCUAGUUGGUAGGGUAAAAGCCUACCAAGGCGACGAUCCAUAGCUGGUCUGAGAGGAUGAUCAGCCACACUGGGACUGAGACACGGCCCAGACUCCUACGGGAGGCAGCAGUGGGGAAUAUUGGACAAUGGGCGAAAGCCUGAUCCAGCAAUGCCGCGUGAGUGAUGAAGGCCUUAGGGUUGUAAAGCUCUUUUACCCGGGAUGAUAAUGACAGUACCGGGAGAACAAGCUCCGGCUAACUCCGUG
Molecule: ribosomal RNA, 433 nt
Filed under: uncultured bacterium
Lineage: Bacteria
Description: partial 16S ribosomal RNA
Rfam family: Bacterial small subunit ribosomal RNA
Source: RNAcentral